RNAcentral lists this ribosomal RNA (439 nucleotides) under uncultured bacterium. RNAcentral describes it as "partial 16S ribosomal RNA". It matches the Rfam family "Bacterial small subunit ribosomal RNA", at positions 339 to 795 of the family's 1533-position model. The record is from RNAcentral.
CUACGGGGUGCACCAGUGGGGAAUAUUGCACAAUGGACGAAAGUCUGAUGCAGCAACGCCGCGUGGAGGAUGACACAUUUCGGUGCGUAAACUCCUUUUAUAGGUCAAGAUAAUGACGGUAGCCUAUGAAUAAGCGCCGGCUAACUCCGUGCCAGCAGCCGCGGUAAUACGGAGGGCGCAAGCGUUACUCGGAAUCACUGGGCGUAAAGAGCGUGUAGGCGGGUUAAUAAGUCAGAAGUGAAAUCCAAUGGCUCAACCAUUGAACUGCUUUUGAAACUGUUAACCUAGAGUAUGGGAGAGGUAGAUGGAAUUUCUGGUGUAGGGGUAAAAUCCGUAGAGAUCAGAAGGAAUACCGAUUGCGAAGGCGAUCUACUGGAACAUUACUGACGCUGAGACGCGAAAGCGUGGGGAGCAAACAGGAUUAGAUACCCUUGUAGUC